UAUUUCAGGCUGCUCCGCGAGGCUUUACAGGGGCUAAAAAUACGACACGUCAUAAUGGAGUUUGUCAUGCGGAGGAAGUUGUUCAGGCUCUGGAUGUCGGCUUGGUAAAUAUUCCGGCAUCGCGCGGGGACUUAGAGUUCAUACAUAAACGGAGCUCUGCAGCUGGGGGCAGCGAUGCGCUUCCCGUGCACCAGGCCACCGGAAAUUAAAAGAAGAAGAAGUCUAAACAGGACCGACUGUGUGUAUUCCUGGGCUUGUUCCAGGGAACAGAGAAUUGCCAAAAAAUGUUUGACGCACUCAUGAUAUCUCUCUCUGAGCCCUGUUUUCAGCACUUGUGGACCAAUAGCUUACGCCAUUUGAUUCAAGGGAAUGAAUAGAGGUCAUCUGAGUAGGCGGUCCUCCAUGUGGACCAGGACUCAUCCAUGGACACACUGCUCAAAGAAUGUGGCCAGAGACCACCACCUGUGAUCGGGUCAGCCGAGACCCAUGUUGAUGCCAGGUGUGAACAAAGUCAUCGGGCUAAAAGGUUUGCUCCAUGUGACAUUACGUAAUAAAAUGUAUCCGGGCACUUCUUAAAGCAAUAUCUCAGUAAUCCAAAUGACAGGCCUCCUACACCACGAGAACCUGAAGAGAACCUCUGGUAGUGGAGCGGUGACCUUGAGGAGAUUCACUCUUCUUCCAGGGUAGAUGUUGUGGAUGUGAACUCUUCAUACACACACACACACACACACACUGCUCUGGCUGAGGAGGAAGACCACCGGGGCCAAAUGAAACAAGUCCUCCACCCCCCCUGCCUGGUGCUCUCUAAGCCUCGGGGCCGUGUUUGAGGAGUCCAGUGUGUGGAAUGAGAAACCCGACUCCAGAAGGGACCGAGAUGCUGCUGCCGGGAACAGCUGCCUGAUAAAGACCUGAUUGAUCAGCGCUGAAGCCUAAACCGGCCGGUGGAGUGACUAGCCCUAACUCCUGACCUCUGACCCCUGCACUCUACAGGUCAAGCCCAGGGUCAGGCCAUUAUGUAAGAGGCUUGUUCCUCAGAGAAAGACUGAGAGGGAACAAACCAACCAGGGAUAGAACUCUUGCAUUGUCACUGAGACUUGCAGGAAUGUGCUCCUCAUAACUCCAGGGCACGAGCUGCACACACUGAAGGGUUUUUACCAAAUAUAGUUUCACCAAAUAUUUGGAUUAAAAAAUAAAUUUAAACGGAAUACAUUUGCAGAAACCCGAACCUCUACAAACAAAUAAGGGCAGAGGACGGGGGGAUCUGGUUUUCCUAAGAAGCUGGGUCAUGCCAGAAGAGAGGACGAGUAUCAGGCCGGUGGGUGGCGUGUAUUUAUUCAGGUAUUAAACGACAUCAGCACUUGAUUCAGUUUAAUAACAAACACUCUGCGGGGGCAUGUGGGCAGAGGGAAACUCUCAGUUUUACACAACAAUAAAAACAGCCAGCGCUCCGGGCUGCAGUCCUGUGAGGUGAUGGAGGCCGCAGCUUUACGACUCGAUUAGUGCCCAAUGUGGGCGCUAAUCUGUGAGUCCUCACUGGGCAACAGAAACCCCCAAGAACCUCAAAGGGAAACACACAGAAGCAUCAUCACACCAAACAUGACAUAUUAAAACCAUGCAACAACAUUUGGGUCUGAAAAGUGAAGCCAAUGUGAAACUUGCAUUCUCUCUCUGACCACCAGGGGGCGACUCCUCCGGUUGUAUAGAAGUCUAUGCUUCAUGUCAUACACUCUGUCACAUUCAUUGAAUGUAUUUUAACUCUAAAUCUGUCCUUCUGUACACAUUACAUCUAUUGCACCUGUCCAUCCUGGAGAGGGAUCCUCCUCUGUUGCUCUCCUGAAGGUUUCUUCCCUUUUUUUCCCCCUGAAGGGUUAUUUGGGAGUUUUUCCUGAUCCGAUGCGAGGUUUUGGGGCAGGGAUGUCUAUGUGUACAGAUUGUAAAGCACUCUGAGACAAAUUUGUAAUUUGUGAAAUUGGGCUAUACAAAUUAACUGAAUUGAAUUGAAUGUCUUAAAGCUGCAUUCUCUCUCUGACCACCAGGGGGCGACUCCUCUGGUUAAAUAGAAGUACAGGCUUCAUGUGUUAAAGCUGCAUUCUCUCUCUGACCACCAGGGGGCGACUCCUCCGGUUGUAUAGAAGUCUAUGCUUCAUGUCUUAAAGCUGCAUUCUCUCUACUGACCACCAGUGGACGACUCCUCCGGUUGUAUAGAAGUAUAUGCUUCAUGUCUUAAAGCUGCAUUAUCUCGACUGACCACCAGUGGGCGACUCCUCUGGUUGUAUAGAAGUCUAUAUAAAUGACUACAUCUCUCUUGAUUUAUUCCCUCAGUAAACAUUGUAAACAUGAAUUUAUGUCUCAAUCUCUAGUUUCAAGUCUCAUUCAAGACAGCAUGAUGUACAUUUAGUAAAUGAUGGUCAUCCCCUAAAGCAGGGGAUGCUUUAGGGGCGGGGCUACAAGGUGAUUGACAGGGUUGACACUCUUCAAAACGUUGAACUUUCAAAAACAUGAUGUCAGGACACUUACGUCCACUUACAGUCUAUGAUUUAAAACAAUGUAAUGUACAACAACUAAUAUUUCCAUGUAUAAACAACCACUUGUCAUAUUUCCAUCAUGUUUUCAUCUUUGUUUUCCAGUGAUAAGAGGGGAUUGUCCUCUUGAUAUGGCCUCUUCUUCUGCAAUGGCUCAACACUCCUGACUGAAGAAUUGACCCAACCAAACUCCUCAUAAUAUAAUAAUAAUGUGCUGACCACUGUAACACAUUGCAUGUUUAGGCACAUAAAGUGUUAAUGACGUUCCUUUGUUAUCAGGCUAUUAGCUUCCAGGAGGAUGUGAUCGAAUCCCUGUCUUAGUUUGAUCUGAUGUGUGUGUGUGUCCUUCCAGGUAGAGGAGGAAUGCAGGCCAGUGGGAACGUGUCUCAGGUGGCAAUACACACUGCGUGCUGCACAUCACAGUGCGCCGACCACACGCUAUCCACACGCUAUCCACAUGCGACCACAAGCACACGCAUCCAGCCUGCAAGGAGCUCAGCCCCGUGAUGUCCCGCCUCCUCGGCCUGUCUGUCAUCGUGAGAGGCUGAACCGACUCGUCUGUCAACGCAGAUAAAGGGCUAUUUAUCGGACCGCUGGGUUUUAAACAUGCCCUACAUACUUUAUAUGGAAAUGAUCGUGAUAGAUAGGCAUGACGGGGCACAUCCCCUGGAGAGAGAGAGAGAGAGAGAGAGAGAGAAAGCUGUCUAUCUCUCCAGAGUAAUUCAGUGGCACAUUAGACGAGACCACCUGACACUGUGGCACUUAUCCUGCCGCUAACUACCAUGUUUGGUGAACUACUAAACGCCAGCAAUUAUACUGCUGUCUGCUCACCCCACUGGGAUUACACAUGCCACCGGAGUGGACACACACACAC
Long non-coding RNA from Pseudoliparis swirei, 3396 nucleotides. RefSeq lists it as uncharacterized. The record is from RefSeq and is a predicted model, not a curated record. The transcript has 3 exons. Lineage: Eukaryota; Metazoa; Chordata; Actinopteri; Perciformes; Liparidae.